RNAcentral lists this transfer RNA (73 nucleotides) under Canis lupus familiaris (dog). It matches the Rfam family "tRNA". Rfam says of the family: Transfer RNA (tRNA) molecules are approximately 80 nucleotides in length. Their secondary structure includes four short double-helical elements and three loops (D, anti-codon, and T loops). The record is from Rfam by way of RNAcentral. Lineage: Eukaryota; Metazoa; Chordata; Mammalia; Carnivora; Canidae. RNAcentral also lists the same sequence under 1 other name.
GCCUGGCUGGCUUAGUCAGUAGAGCAUGUGACUCUAGAUCUCAGGGUUGUGAGUUUGAGCCCCACAUUGGGUG